Molecule: ribosomal RNA, 484 nt
Filed under: uncultured bacterium
Lineage: Bacteria
Description: partial 16S ribosomal RNA
Rfam family: Bacterial small subunit ribosomal RNA
Source: RNAcentral
AUUGAACGCUGGCGGCAGGCCUAACACAUGCAAGUCGAGCGGAUGAAGGGAGCUUGCUCCUGGAUUCAGCGGAGGACGGGUGAGUAAUGCCUAGGAAUCUGCCUGGUAGUGGGGGAUAACGUCCGGAAACGGGCGCUAAUACCGCAUACGUCCUGAGGGAGAAAGUGGGGGAUCUUCGGACCUCACGCUAUCAGAUGAGCCUAGGUCGGAUUAGCUAGUUGGUGGGGUAAAGGCCUACCAAGGCGACGAUCCGUAACUGGUCUGAGAGGAUGAUCAGUCACACUGGAACUGAGACACGGUCCAGACUCCGACGGGAGGCAGCAGUGGGGAAUAUUGGACGAUGGGCGAGAGCCUGAUCCAGCCAUGCCGCGUGUGUGAAGAAGGUCUUCGGAUUGUAAAGCACUUUAAGUUGGGAGGAAGGGCAGUAAGUUAAUACCUUGCUGUUUUGACGUUACCAACAGAAUAAGCACCGGCUAACUUCGUG